GAAUUUAUUUAGGGUCAGCCUGCCCAGUGGCUUAAAGCUAAACGGCCGCGGUAUCUUGACCGUGCAAAGGUAGCAUAAUCACUUGUCUUUUAAAUGGAGACUUGUAUGAACGGCGAAACCUUUUUCAACUGUCUCUCCUCCCACCCUUCAAAAUUUCUUUCCGUGUGAAGAAGCACAGAUAUACCAGAAAGACGAGAAGACCCUGUCGAGCUUUAACCAUUAAGUGAACACUCCUACUUACUUAGAUAUCACCUAAAGGUUUUGGUUGGGGCAACCGUGGAGAAAAAAAAUCCUCCAGAACAAAUAGAAGAAAACCCUUCACUAAUUAUCAACACUUUAAGAACCAGGAACUGGUAUUCGGAAAAAGUUACCGCAGGGAUAACAGCGUUAUCUCCUCUGAGAGUCCUUAUUGACGAGGAGGCUUGCGACCUCGAUGUUGGAUUGGGGCCCCCUUAGGGUGCAGAAGCUCUAAACGGUUAGACUGUUCGUCUAUUAAAGCCCUACGUGAUCUGAGUUCAGACCGGAAGAAGGA
RNAcentral lists this ribosomal RNA (532 nucleotides) under Holothuria edulis. Its description in RNAcentral is "partial 16S ribosomal RNA". It matches the Rfam family "Bacterial large subunit ribosomal RNA", at positions 1839 to 2631 of the family's 2925-position model. Lineage: Eukaryota; Metazoa; Echinodermata; Holothuroidea; Aspidochirotida; Holothuriidae. The record is from RNAcentral.